Non-coding RNA from Myotis brandtii (Brandt's bat), 75 nucleotides. NCBI's taxonomy places the organism in Eukaryota, Metazoa, Chordata, Mammalia, Chiroptera, Vespertilionidae. The record is from Rfam.
GAGACACCCUUAUAGGGCAGGACUUGCUUCCAUGGAACUUUGGUGCUCACUGAGUCUGCCCUUGAGUGUGUCACU